GACGAACGCUGGCGGCGUGCUUAACACAUGCAAGUCGAACGGUGACGAGGAGCUUGCUCCUCUGAUCAGUGGCGAACGGGUGAGUAACACGUGAGCAACCUGCCCAGACUCUGGGAUAACAGUUGGAAACAGCUGCUAAUACCGGAUACGAGACGGAGAGGCAUCUCUACCGUCUGGAAAGUUUUUCGGUCUGGGAUGGACUCGCGGCCUAUCAGCUAGUUGGUGAGGUAAUGGCUCACCAAGGCGACGACGGGUAGCCGGCCUGAGAGGGCGACCGGCCACACUGGGACUGAGACACGGCCCAGACUCCUACGGGAGGCAGCAGUGGGGAAUAUUGCACAAUGGGCGAAAGCCUGAUGCAGCGACGCCGCGUGAGGGAUGAAGGCCUU
Molecule: ribosomal RNA, 389 nt
Filed under: uncultured bacterium
Lineage: Bacteria
Description: bacterial SSU rRNA
Rfam family: Bacterial small subunit ribosomal RNA
Source: RNAcentral